This is a long non-coding RNA of Amphiprion ocellaris (clown anemonefish), 623 nucleotides long. The record is from Ensembl. Lineage: Eukaryota; Metazoa; Chordata; Actinopteri; Pomacentridae.
GAGACAUAGCUGUAAAAGGGCUAAAAGUUUUUCAGAGUUGUGGAAAUGUAACAGAUAAGUAAGAACAAAGAAUAAAUUGAUGGCAAUUUAGGGAGAGGAGCUUUUCUGGCUGCCUGUCGCUGGUCUGGCUCUUUGUUGAAAAAGAAGUUGUGGGAGGAUGAGGGGCUUUACUCGGAUGAAAAGAAGAGCUCGAGUGAAUCUCAGCUGUGGAGACAAGCAGGAAGAAGUCUCGCUCUCUGAGAUUUGGAGAGCUAAGAAAUUGGAAGUGAGUCAUGAAAUUACCGUGGCAGUAAGUGCCAUCACAGGCUGAGAUCAUCACCAUCCAUUGCUGAGCUCUGUUGGCUGAAUGCUCCUGGCGCCCCCCGUUUGAGAACCAGUGAGAAGAAAAAUCAUCAAAGAGAGACUGAGCUGGAAUAUCAGAGGGACGAGUUCUCACACCAAGUACAGAGCGGCAAGCAAUGAGGAAGAAAGAAAAGAGGUGCUUGUCCAAUCAGAGAUGCAGAUGGCCACAGAAGACAUGAGCACCAGCCAACCUGGCACCGGGACGACUUCCACUUGCCAAUUUAUACAUAACAAAUCAAAUGUGACCCCCUAAUUAAACACUUGAUACAGUUUACCUAGAC